UAUACAAUUCUCAGCGAUGGUCUAACACCGUUGCCAAAUACAGAAUAGUCUUUGAGAUAACCCUUGGUUGAUGCUAUUUUGUUACAUAGAUUGUAUAUAUAUAUAUAUAUUCUCUCAUAGGAUCGUCCAAGAGAUAUACGGGUCGGGUCGUGCAUGGAAUAUAAAUGAUAAACAUCAGCUUGAUAGUGACAUUCAGAUGCUGCCUAAUGAAGAAAGUCAAUGCUUGGUUAUUGGUAGUUGGUACUAUCCCCAGAUCAAUUCUUGGCUUCUUAUUCCUUAUCAAAGGGCUAUGAUUGGUUUACAUAGAUUUCAAUUUCGUUUCUGCUUCAUUUGAAGGUAAAAGAGGAGUAUUGAUGGUGUAGCGGAACGGCUGCAUCAGAAUUGGAAUCACAGAGAAGUUGCAAAAUGAUCACAAUUCAGAAUUUUGUUUCGACAGUUUUUACACAUAGGAAAUCACUUGAAGCAGAAAGCGGUUGAAUACUAAUCCCAAUCGAAAAACUUAAAGGACAUGUUGAACAAAAUCAUUUUUGUUACUGAAAUAUUUAAACGAGCUAUAACCAACCAAUGGGAGACAAGUUAUUAAAAC
RNAcentral lists this long non-coding RNA (586 nucleotides) under Brassica napus (rape). RNAcentral describes it as "long non-coding RNA (BNAP_LNC011983)". The record is from RNAcentral. Lineage: Eukaryota; Viridiplantae; Streptophyta; Magnoliopsida; Brassicales; Brassicaceae.